RNAcentral lists this ribosomal RNA (518 nucleotides) under uncultured bacterium. Its description in RNAcentral is "bacterial SSU rRNA". It matches the Rfam family "Bacterial small subunit ribosomal RNA", at positions 15 to 518 of the family's 1533-position model. The record is from RNAcentral.
GAUUCUGGCUCAGGAUGAACGCUAGCUACAGGCUUAACACAUGCAAGUCGAGGGCAGCAUGAAACUUAGCUUGCUAAGUUUUGAUGGCGACCGGCGCACGGGUGAGUAACACGUAUCCAACCUACCGUUUUACUACGGGAUUAGCCUUCUGAAAAGGAGAUUAAUACCGUAUGGUAUUCUAAAGUUUCAUGACAUUAGAAUUAAAGGUUUACCGGUAAUCGAUGGGGAUGCGUUCCAUUAGAUAGUAGGCGGGGUAACGGCCCACCUAGUCAGCGAUGGAUAGGGGUUCUGAGAGGAAGGUCCCCCACAUUGGAACUGAGACACGGUCCAAACUCCUACGGGAGGCAGCAGUGAGGAAUAUUGGUCAAUGGGCGAGAGCCUGAACCAGCCAAGUAAGCGUGAAGGAUGACUGCCCUAUGGGUUGUAAACUUCUUUUAUAAAGGAAUAAAGUGGUCCACGUGUGGAUUUUUGUAUGUACUUUAUGAAUAAGGAUCGGCUAACUCCGUGCCAGCAGCCGC